Molecule: ribosomal RNA, 658 nt
Filed under: uncultured bacterium
Lineage: Bacteria
Description: bacterial SSU rRNA
Rfam family: Bacterial small subunit ribosomal RNA
Source: RNAcentral
AACACAUGCAAGUCGAGGGGUAACAAGAGGAAAGCUUGCUUUUCUUGUUGACGACCGGCGCACGGGUGAGUAACGCGUAUCCAACCUACCUAUAACUAGGGAAUAACCUUGCGAAAGUAAGACUAAUACCCUAUGAUUUCCUUUGAUGGCAUCAGAUUAGGAAUAAAGAUUUAUCGGUUAUAGAUGGGGAUGCGUCUGAUUAGCUUGUUGGCGGGGUAACGGCCCACCAAGGCAACGAUCAGUAGGGGUUCUGAGAGGAAGGUCCCCCACAUUGGAACUGAGACACGGUCCAAACUCCUACGGGAGGCAGCAGUGAGGAAUAUUGGUCAAUGGGCGGAAGCCUGAACCAGCCAAGUAGCGUGCAGGAUGACGGCCCUAUGGGUUGUAAACUGCUUUUAUACAGGAAUAAAGUUAGCCACGUGUGGUUAUUUGUAGGUACUGUAUGAAUAAGGACCGGCUAAUUCCGUGCCAGCAGCCGCGGUAAUACGGAAGGUCCAGGCGUUAUCCGGAUUUAUUGGGUUUAAAGGGAGCGUAGGCCGUCUGUUAAGCGUGUUGUGAAAUGUAGAUGCUCAACAUCUGAAUUGCAGCGCGAACUGGCAGACUUGAGUGUGCGCAACGUAGGCGGAAUUCGUGGUGUAGCGGUGAAAUGCUUAGAUAU